UAAAAAGAUACGUUGAGAAAGGUAUGUUAAAAUAGCAGGUAUUAAAAACCACAGGUCUACAAUUUCUACCUAACUUUUAGAAGUCUGUAGUUUUCAGAUCCGCUCUACCUUCUAUUUAAUGAAUAAAUCCACUAUACAUUGUCCACUAUAUGGUCCAAAAAGACCAUCCAUUGAAAGGGAAUUAUUUUGGUGAAUUUGUUUAGGAAUUUAAGAUAAUAAUGGUAAAAUUCAAUAUGUCUGCCAUGUGUGUCAUUAAAAGACCACUAUAGGCACCAACUUCAGCUCAAUUAAGUGGCCUGGGUGCCAGGUCCCUCUAGUUUAACCCUGCAGCUGUUAACAUAGAGGUUUCAGAGAAAAUGCUAUGUUUACACUGCAGGGUUAAUCCAGCCUCUAGUGGCU
Non-coding RNA from Pelobates cultripes (western spadefoot toad), 399 nucleotides. The record is from the annotation of a GenBank genome assembly. NCBI's taxonomy places the organism in Eukaryota, Metazoa, Chordata, Amphibia, Anura, Pelobatidae.